AAAAUUGUUAUACUUAAAAAGUCAAUGGUUGAACCUUGGGUCUAGCUGGACCUUUCCGUCUGCGGAAGGAGCGUCAUGGCCUCCACGAACUGUGGGGAAACUAGGACUUUUGCCACAAAAAAGCUAGUGAGUUUUAAUCAGGCCUUUGACUGAACAUUACCAUGGAUAAUAGACCAGGAUCUGCGAUUCCAUUUUGUUGGUUUCUAGGGCCGCCAUAAUGAUUAAUAGGGAUAGUGGGGGCGUCAGUAUCCAACUCUCGGAGGCGGAAUUCUUAGAUUUGCUCAAGUCUCACUGCCACGAAAGCAUUUACCAAAGAUGUUUUCAUUGCUCAAUUAUUAACAAAAAUAGGUAAUUGGAGAUGAUCAGAUACGAUCAAAGUCCUAAUCAAAUUUUCAUAAACGACGCCGACCAUGGAUCUGGGGAUCAGGUAGGUUGUCCAUACGAUCCUCUUGGCAUCUCACGAUCAGAAGGUUAAGUA
Molecule: non-coding RNA, 478 nt
Filed under: Aspergillus udagawae
Lineage: Eukaryota; Fungi; Ascomycota; Eurotiomycetes; Eurotiales; Aspergillaceae
Description: Neosartorya udagawae Eukaryotic small subunit ribosomal RNA
Rfam family: Eukaryotic small subunit ribosomal RNA
Source: Rfam by way of RNAcentral